GAAGCUUCAUUUAGAGUGGAAUUAAGGUUUUAUAUGGAUUUACAUUAAUUUCCCAAUUUCUGAUUUUUCAAGGCACAGCUUUUCCUGAAUUAGCAAGUUCCAUCAGCUAACCCGAGCUCUUCACUUUGAAUUCAAUCCCUCAUUUUCUUUGGCAGGAAUAAAAGCAUUAUUUGUAAGAGUUAGGAUUAUACAGAAGGCUGUAAUUGCCAUCUGUAUUUUCACAUGAUGGCUUGGAUGAAGGCUGUGUCAUUUGAGUGCUUUAUACCCUUUCCUGUUUAUACUGUGCAGCCAGUGAUAUGGAUCCCAUGAUCAUCCCCAGAUCAAUUUCUGUAUGGCAAAGUUCUGCAUAUUUUAUAGGGAAGUAAUGGUAACUAUCUGAAUACUUGGUGCAGCUUCUUGCCCUCAGCCAUGCUACCUCCUACCUCAUCCUUGCCUCUGAAAUUGAUUUCUUGACUGGCACUUUCCCCAGCUGUCUACAACUCUCAUGCUCUUUGAUGAGCUAGCCAAAAUUAGGCAGUAUUACCACUGCACCUCCCUUAACUAGAAGUCCUUCAUUUGUUUUGUCAGGUACGAGUGUACAGGUGAAAUCAGAUGGACUCAUCUGACCAGCACAGCUUCUUUCCACGCCAGCCACCUCUCAAGCAAAAUCUUCAUGCUGGUAGCUGAGUCUCUGUGGGUUCUUGAUGGGUUAUUAUCUACUCCUCCGACGUGGUUAAAGAUCCAGCUCUAGUUUUAGAGAAAUUUCUCACCAGUGGUAAUUAGCAGCAAGCUGAGCAGAGGAAAAAUAUGCUGACAGGCAGAAAAUCUCUACAUGAGAAUACAAGUUGGUCAUGCUCUGGGAAGAAGUGGUUUGCUGCAGUCCUGGCUUGGGUGAGCAUUUGUCCUUACCAUAAAGCAACUGUUUCAUAUGUAGAUGUGUGGAAUAUAUUCACACAUUUAAAG
Molecule: long non-coding RNA, 942 nt
Filed under: Coturnix japonica (Japanese quail)
Lineage: Eukaryota; Metazoa; Chordata; Aves; Galliformes; Phasianidae
Description: lncRNA (ENSCJPG00005001236.1)
Source: RNAcentral